This 492-nucleotide ribosomal RNA is filed under the name uncultured bacterium. RNAcentral describes it as "partial 16S ribosomal RNA". It matches the Rfam family "Bacterial small subunit ribosomal RNA", at positions 29 to 507 of the family's 1533-position model. The record is from RNAcentral.
AGUGAACGCUGGCGGUAGGCCUAACACAUGCAAGUCGAACGGCAGCACAGUAAGAGCUUGCUCUUACGGGUGGCGAGUGGCGGACGGGUGAGGAAUACAUCGGAAUCUACUUUUUCGUGGGGGAUAACGUAGGGAAACUUACGCUAAUACCGCAUACGACCUACGGGUGAAAGCAGGGGAUCUUCGGACCUUGCGCGAUUGAAUGAGCUGAUGUCGGAUUAGCUAGUUGGCGGGGUAAAGGCCCACCAAGGCGACGAUCCGUAGCUGGUCUGAGAGGAUGAUCAGCCACACUGGAACUGAGACACGGUCCAGACUCCUACGGGAGGCAGCAGUGGGGAAUAUUGGACAAUGGGCGCAAUCCUGAUCCAGCCAUACCGCGUGGGUGAAGAAGGCCUUCGGGUUGUAAAGCCCUUUUGUUGGGGAAGAAAAGCAGCAGGUUAAUACCCCGCUGUUCUGACGGUACCCAAAGAAUAAGCACCGGCUAACUUCGUG